This 85-nucleotide transfer RNA is filed under the name Felis catus (domestic cat). It matches the Rfam family "tRNA". Rfam says of the family: Transfer RNA (tRNA) molecules are approximately 80 nucleotides in length. Their secondary structure includes four short double-helical elements and three loops (D, anti-codon, and T loops). Further hydrogen bonds mediate the characteristic L-shaped molecular structure. tRNAs have two regions of fundamental functional importance: the anti-codon, which is responsible for specific mRNA codon recognition, and the 3' end, to which the tRNAs corresponding amino acid is attached (by aminoacyl-tRNA synthetases). tRNAs cope with the degeneracy of the genetic code in two manners: having more than one tRNA (with a specific anti-codon) for a particular amino acid; and 'wobble' base-pairing, i.e. permitting non-standard base-pairing at the 3rd anti-codon position. Lineage: Eukaryota; Metazoa; Chordata; Mammalia; Carnivora; Felidae. The record is from Rfam by way of RNAcentral.
GCUUGGGUAGCUCAGUCGGUUAAGUGUCUGACUUUGGCUCAGGUCAUGAUCUCACGGUUUGUGAGUUCGAGCCCCACAUCAGGCC